This 396-nucleotide ribosomal RNA is filed under the name Escherichia coli. RNAcentral's name for it is "partial 23S ribosomal RNA". It matches the Rfam family "Bacterial large subunit ribosomal RNA", at positions 446 to 845 of the family's 2925-position model. Lineage: Bacteria; Pseudomonadati; Pseudomonadota; Gammaproteobacteria; Enterobacterales; Enterobacteriaceae. The record is from RNAcentral.
GGGAGGACCAUCUCUUAAGGCUAGAUACUCUCUAGUGACCGAUAGUGAACCAGUACCGUGAGGGAAAGGUGAAAAGCACCCCGGAAGGGGAGUCAAAUAGAACCUGAAACCGUGUGCUUACAAGUAGUCAGAGCCCGUUAAUGGGUGAUGGCGUGCCUUUUGUAGAAUGAACCGGCGAGUUACGAUUUGAUGCAAGGUUAAGCAGUAAAUGUGGAGCCGUAGCGAAAGCGAGUCUGAAUAGGGCGUUUAGUAUUUGGUCGUAGACCCGAAACCAGGUGAUCUACCCUUGGUCAGGUUGAAGUUCAGGUAACACUGAAUGGAGGACCGAACCGACUUACGUUGAAAAGUGAGCGGAUGAACUGAGGGUAGCGGAGAAAUUCCAAUCGAACCUGGAGA